Long non-coding RNA from Erpetoichthys calabaricus (reedfish), 662 nucleotides. RefSeq lists it as uncharacterized. The transcript is spliced from 2 exons. The record is from RefSeq and is a predicted model, not a curated record. Lineage: Eukaryota; Metazoa; Chordata; Cladistia; Polypteriformes; Polypteridae.
AACAGGUCGCGUCGUACACAAUGAAACUGGGCUGUAUCAACUGGCUCAUGCAGAAAGGGGGGGACAGGAGGAGGGAGGGACGAGCGUGAGCCUGGACGAUGUAGAGAGAGAGAGAGAGAGCUAGGGAGAGAGAGAGAGAGAAGUAGUGUUCAGUGAUUUUACCGAGUAUGAGUAUGCGCGCGCUCUCCUGCAAACCAAAAUAUCAUCUGCAUUUAAUAAAUACACACGAUUAUGCCUUAUUUCAUUGACUUCGGUGUAUUAUUCGCAGAGAAAGGAGGGACAGCUGGUCUACAGUACGAGAAUUGACAGUACUUACAGACGGCGUAUAAUGCGUGUUAUAAUAUACUCAUUUAGCUGUGCGAAGAUGCGUUAAGAAUACUGUAUGCUGACAGCCUGUGAUUCAUAUUUUGGUGUAUCAACAGGAAAUCUGCCUCUGCAACAUUAUGAUCUUUUCACUUGUGAGAUCUGUGAUUUUCGAAAAAUACAGUCAUCCGUUCAUUUAUUUGACAAGACUCUUAUUCUAAUACAGGGCCACAGAGAGGCUGGAACUAAUUCCUAUGAGACUAAGAUGAAUAUGUUGAAUUUUGUACCUUUUCUAUACCUGCUGCAUUAAAAAAAUAAACUUAAUCUCUAUGUAAUAAGAUACCAUUAUGAAAAGUUAA